RNAcentral lists this transfer RNA (73 nucleotides) under Cavia porcellus (domestic guinea pig). It matches the Rfam family "tRNA". Rfam says of the family: Transfer RNA (tRNA) molecules are approximately 80 nucleotides in length. Their secondary structure includes four short double-helical elements and three loops (D, anti-codon, and T loops). Lineage: Eukaryota; Metazoa; Chordata; Mammalia; Rodentia; Caviidae. The record is from Rfam by way of RNAcentral.
GGAGAUGUGGCUCAGUGGUAGAGUUCUUGCCUUGCACGUACAAGGCCCUGGGUUCAAUGGCCCAGCACAACCA